AGAAAAUGUUUCUAAAUCAGUUUCUUUGAAUAAAAAAGCUUGUAAAACUUUAACAGAAACUGCAGGUGGGUGUCUGUCUGGUGGAGUUUUAGUCAAAACAUGUUUGUUUUUCAUUCAGUGAGAAGAAAAUCCAGAAAUUUAUUCAAGAAUAGAAAUACUUCUUAAUAAAAUUACCCAAGUAAAAG
Molecule: long non-coding RNA, 185 nt
Organism: Poecilia latipinna (sailfin molly)
Lineage: Eukaryota; Metazoa; Chordata; Actinopteri; Cyprinodontiformes; Poeciliidae
Exons: 2
Source: RefSeq, a predicted model, not a curated record